AUGAAAGUUUCAAAAUGGAAGUUAGGAAUUCUUUGUUUUAUAAGUGGAUGUGUAAUGUCUGGUCAGGUGGAUGCUUGUAUUCCUGAUAGAGUUCCAAUGGGACUCUUAAUCACAGAUUGCCCUUAUCCACAACUGAAAACUCUUGAGAUGCAGAGGACUCUUGCCCUAAAAAUCAUUCUUUCCUUUUCUUUUUUUCUACCCACAGAAGCCCCAAGACAGCAACCUGCUGAACCUGAACCAGCCCCAAGGCAACAAACUAGGAAAAGUAAAGACGCAGAAGAGCCAGGCGACCCACCUGAAGGAGAACCAGGCGAACCACCUGAAGGAGAACCAGGUCCACCACCUGAAGGAGAACCAGGUGCACCACCUGAAGGUAAGUAAUAUGUCUAUCUCUAAACACUCCUUUCUUUCCCCGUUCCUUGAGGACCCUAGACCUUGUCUCUCAUUUGAAACCAUUUGGCACAUCCACUCUUAAAGUUCAGUACCAAGAAAGAGAGGGUAAUAAUGAACUAAGAGGGUGGUCAGCUUAAAAGGCUUUGUUUUCUCUUGCCAUUGCAUAGCUCUCAUAUUUCCACCAGAGAUUUUUCCAGAUCAAAAAUUCAAAAUUAUUUUGCCAUCUUUUCCCAAAGCAUAGUUUGCUUUUUUCCAUUGCCUAAUAUCCUAGAUCAAACAUUUCAAGAUCACUUUGUAAUAUUUAAUGCAAUGUUCUCUUCAUG
This 716-nucleotide long non-coding RNA is filed under the name Phascolarctos cinereus (koala). RNAcentral's name for it is "lncRNA (ENSPCIG00000034089.1)". Lineage: Eukaryota; Metazoa; Chordata; Mammalia; Diprotodontia; Phascolarctidae. The record is from RNAcentral.